Molecule: long non-coding RNA, 6305 nt
Filed under: Marmota monax (woodchuck)
Lineage: Eukaryota; Metazoa; Chordata; Mammalia; Rodentia; Sciuridae
Source: RNAcentral
UAAACCAAAAGCAUGGAUGUACUGUGUAUAUGAGAGAAUGGUUUCACUGCAACAGCUCCUGCAUUGAAUACUGUUGAUUUUUAAAACUCUGUUGUUCAAGUAAAUUAAAAAUAUCAUCUUUUAGUUUGUAGUCCGUAGUUUUUAGUUCAGAAUUUAAUCAAAUGAUUUUGGUUUCUUUAUAGAUUAUGCCAAGGACUUGAAUGGAUGAUGUCACGACUUAAGAUUAGAUGAUCUCUACUGACCUCUUCUCAUAGACUUUGUAUAAACAAAGUGCUGGACUUUACCUGAAAGCUGCAAAAAUUAAUGGUUUAGAUAUAUUUAUAAUAAACUGAUUUCAAUUUUUUUCUAUAAGAAGAAAAAUUAAGACCACUUAUUUGAAAACAAGAUGGGAGUCUCAUCUUCCAAUUUGCUUUCUCAUUAGUUCCUUUCAAAGUACUUUAUUAAAGCUGUGAUUGACAUUUUUCUCAAUGAAUCCUCUCAGGACAAUGUAUAGCCUGUGGUAAGUACAAAGGGAGAGGAAGAUGUUUUGAACUUUAAGAGCUUUAUUAUCAGUAUACCCCUCCCCAACUGAAUGUUGUUCUCUUUUUGUUCCACUAAGUCAAAAUACAAAUCAGCACAGAUACUGUUUCCAAUAUUUUAAAUGUCAUGUUAGUUAUGAAAAAAAAAAAAAAGUAUUUUACUUAAGGUUGUGUGUGUAUUAUGUAUAUACCUCAAGUUCAAGUUAAUGGCUUUGAUUUGUGUUCUAAAGAAAAGCAAAUAACGCAAAAAUUAGUAAUAUCCUUAGUUAUUGCCCUAAUGAGAUAAGUACUGGCAUUGGUAUUAAGUGCCAUUUUAUACUUUUCCUGUUUGUUUUCUGUAUUGUACUAAUCAAACGUCCCCUCUCCCCCAAUCAUUGAGCUGCUCUUAAGAAAAAAAAAGAUACAGGAAAAAGCUUGACAUUGUAUACCCAUUUUUGUUGAUCAGUAACACACAUAGAAAUGUGUAAUCCAACUAAGUGAAAUAUCUGUCAAAUUUUUGGCUUACCCAGUUGACAGAAUUGCACAGUGGAGCAUUGAUCAGAUUAAUCCUUGUAUUGGUCUAAAUUAUUGAAUAGAUUAUUAAUCCACUUAUAAAUCAAUCAUAAAUUGUGAUUAAAACUAUCAAGUGAUUUCUUCUUAAUUAAAAUCUAUUGUGUGAAACAUGUCUACCCAAAGAGGUAACAUUCUAUAAAUAUUAUUAAACAAUUAGCUAGAGUCUUUUUAAGUAUAAAAUUAUGUAUGUCAAGCUGUUAAAAUGAGAGUACAAGUAAUGCAUAAAAAAUUUCUGAGCAACAUUUGAAAUUUUUUAAUUUGCAGAUUUCUUAUUUCUUAUUUUAGGAUUUGGAAUCCUUUUGAGGUUUUUUUGUUGUUCUUAAGUUUUCUUUGAUCUUUCACCUUGUAAAUGCAUUGUUUAACAAUUAAUAGUGGUAAAUUUUUAAUGCUGUUGGCUGGAAAACUGAUUGGUGUAUGAUAUAUUAUUCGUACUAAGAAAUAACUUGACCCAAAAUACCUUUUGUUUGCUUAGGUUUCUUUCUUUCUUUUUAAUGUCUGAAAAUUGAAGGUAUUUUUGUCAUAAUUGUAAACAGAAUUAUCCUGUAUUAAAAUAUAUACUCUAUUUGUGUAUCUUUUAUGCCCUGAAAAUUUGAAGGUUAAUCCAUACUGGCAUGUUUUAGAACAUUCAAAAAAAGAAAUUACUUUUAAUACCAACCUUUUAAAUUUCAUGAAGAUUUUGGUAGGAAUAAUAGUAUAUACUAUAAGCAUUGACAAAACUGAAAAUUUCUUUCUAUGAAAUAUAAAAUGCUCAGUAUCUAAAUCCAAGUUGGGUGUGGUAUAUCAGUGUUAACUUUGGAUGUUUUGUGUUUUAUAUUUAUGUUGCAGUGUUCAAAAUGCAAAUAUAACAUUUAAUAUUUGUCAUGCUUCUACAAAAGUGAAUUCUAAAUUACUAAGCUUUGUCCAUAUGUACUCAUACUUUUGGAAUUACUUGUUGUAUAUUAAAAAUUCCCUUAAAAACCCAAUUCUAUUUUGCAGUUUCAUCAGAAACAAAUAUCCUUUAAUAGAGUCCCAAAAUCUACACUCUUUGUCCUUUUUAUUUUUUAAUGUGAGUAAUCAUGUACUUAUCCUUGGAUUGCUGUCCUGUCAAUACAAUACAGAUACAUUCAAUUGUCAUCAAAGUGUUGGAAAAGUAUUUUAAGUGGAUGUGUAAAGAAAGCAUGCAUUACAUUAUUAAGAGGUGGUUUAGUGUAAUUGACUACUGUCAUGAUAUCAUGAGAAUGCUUGGUAUCUUACAUGACAUUAACAAAACAUGACUUUUUUAUUUUCUACCCUUCUAGACUGAGCAUCAGAAAUAAAACAGUACCUGUGUGCUUGUAUGUAAAACCAAAAUUGCAACUGUGAAAAAAAGAUAUCAUUUCUUCUAUGAAAAUAUCAAAAUCAUUUUAACAGUAUUUUUCCAAAUAAGAUGGAGAGCCUCAUGAACAGUCAUUCUGGCAAUUUAUAUGUAGUUUAAGUGGAAAUAAGCAAAGAAUAAUUCUUUUGGGUUUUUAAUGUUAUUUGGGGUUAUUUAUGCUCAGCUUUGGAAAGAACGAAGAUUUGUAUCUCUAUACAUGUAGCAAGAUUUAAAUACCUGUUUUGAUACUAAUUUUGAGAGUCAUAACUUCUUUUGAUAUGUUGGUAGAAAUUAAAAAUGAGCAUAUGCUAAAGCAUUAAGAUAUACUUAAUUUUGUCAUAAUAGCAUUUAUAAAGUAUAUCUUUCACAUUAUAUUAAAGGUUCUUGUUUGAAAUUUUCAGUUUUCUUUAUCUUCCUAGCACAUCGUGGCCCUCACAAUGGGCAAAGAAUACAGUGAAGACAAGUGGGGUAGGGGCAGUGGGGAGUGGGCAUUCAUUUCCUUAUAUGAUAUUUUGCCUUAAGAGUAAAAAAGUGCUUUAGCACUGUUGGUUGGCAUAUUUAAUGCAGGUGGAGAAAGUGUCUUUAGAAGUAUGACACAAAAUAGAGAACAGAAGAGUUUCUGGCCUUUUAAGAAGUGCCUGGUAGGUAGAUACAGAGUCACAGAAAAGUGCAGAGAGCUUGAGGAAAGGUGUGAAGUCCUUGAGAUGUUCUUUUUCUUUUGUCUUUAGGGUAUAGUAUUAAGAUGCCUAGAAAUGGGACUGUAUUGUCUCUCUCAUGGGCACUUUACAUUUCUUGCUGUCAGUACAGCAGCCACAUACAGUACAGUCAACCUCAAAAUCUGUUUAUAAAAGUAAUGUAAAUAGAAAAAUUAUAGACAACUUUCUAGUUUUCUGUGCAGGCAGUUUUGGGAAUGUACUGUAGUCUGCUCUGCUUUGUAUAUAGGGGAAAAGAGCACAUUGUAGAUUACCUGUGACUUUUUGUCAUCUUCUCUUAAUUGCCCAGGGUAUCCUGGCCUCAAUCUCAUUUUCAGGGUUUGGGUAGAGGUAAGAUUUUUCUCAUGACUCAACUUUGAUCCCUUCCACUUCUUGCUUCAGGAUUGACCUUUCCCAUAGCUCAAUUAUCCAUUGUUCUCCUGAAGGUACACUAAACUUUGUCUAUAACCAUUAUUUCCCAAACCACUAGUUCUAAAUAGCUCAUCUAGUUUCUAGCUAUCUACCUACCAUUGCCUUUGUUUGCUUGUUUGGAUUUUGUUCAUUAAAGGGCAUUUUAAGAGUUGUUGAGUCCAUCAGAAGACCAGAUUGCAAUGUAUACAGCAUAUACGUGCCAAUAGUAGAAUCCUGUAUAUUAUACUGUAUUUAACAUUUAAUGCUUCUUAAUUUUUCAUAUGCUGCAAAAGUAGAUUCAGAAAGAUAAGAGAAAUACUUAAACUCUGCCAGUUCCUUGAGCUACUAGUAAGGUCUGGAGGAUAUUAAGUUAUAUGUGCAUUAUUUUCCCACUACCAAGAAUGGUUAUGUUUUGGAGCAUACCAGUUCAAGUAAUUUAAGUUGGAAAAAGAUACCAAAUCUUUAUGUAGUGUUUAACUUAAAGAUAUCCUUAAACCAUUGCCCACAUUCCAUUUUUCCCCCUCAUGUUUACUUAAAGAACAAAGAUCAAUAUUAGAUUUCUAAAGGAAUUAGUAAUAAGAAACUUAGUUUUACAAAAUAAGCCUAUUGGGAUGGACUUUAAAAGACAUUAGAAUAAUCAACCAUUAUGUAUUGGCUGUGUAAAUGCAGGUAUAAAAAAGAAAAAGGCCUUUAAACUUUAAAGCUCCACUUACACAAAAGAAUGUAUUAAAGAUUAUUUUAAGAUCAUGAUAGUGGAGUCAAGGAAGGCAAGCUAGAAUAGAACACUUUGCUAAAAAGUGUCUGCUUCUCUUUAACCUUAAAAUGGUAUGAAAUUUUGAAGAAAUGUAAUAGGAUACAGUUGGGUUAGUUAUGCAAUAUUUCUUAUUGAUUUUGUAGCCUUUCCUCCUUUACAUGUUGUUCUGAAAGCUAAAGUUUAAAUCUUUAUGGUAUUGUAUGCUAGAUAAUGCCAUUCUUUGGUAGAAAAUUCCCAUAGUCUGUAUCCAAGAAGUGCCUAAAAUUGAUUUGUGUUGAUUUUUAAAUCCAUCUAAUAAAUUAUGUGUUUUAUAUGGUAUUGUAUGUGCUUGUCUUACUGAUGACACAGACCUGAGGGUUUUUAAGUCACAGUUUAUGCUUUAUUUGAAUAAAAAGGUUUAAAUUUAAAGAUAUCCACCUAACCCUCAUCAAGCAUAGAAUAAAAGCAUCAGCAAAAUUAUUUUUUGUCUUUUCUAAUAACAGUUUUUCAUGACCUUGUCAUUCGUUAAUGCAGCAACUAGAAAACUGAACUCUUACUGUUUUUUUAAACAGUUUUUUAAAAAAAAUGUAAUGUUUAUAUUUGAAGACCUCAAAAUAAGAGUUUGUUGCUUAUGUAAGAGCCUCUUCAUUCUCGGUUAGUGGUUAGCAGUUUUGACUGUCAAAACAUUUAGUGUUCAGUCAUUUCAUUUCCUUUGUUUAGAUAGUGCUUAACCGAAAUAUUUGAUAAAAUCAAUACAUUUCUCGUAUAUUGUUCUGUUUAUAAAACUGAGCAUAAAAUAACUGUAAAUUCUAGAGAAAAGCUUGACUGUAUUUUCAGCAAUGUACAUUACAUUGUGUUCAUAAGUCAUUUUGCAUGAAAAAUGAAAUGUGUAUCUUAUUUUAAAUUAAUGUGUACUAUUCCCUUUCCCCAAACUUCUUACAUUGAUGUUAUACAGAAUUCUAGUUCAUUAGAUUGGAGUAGCCUUUUCUUAUAUUGUGCCCCUCUAGGUUCCAUGAGGUAAGGUGAUACCUGCAAAGCACUUUUAAAGAUAUUUUUUAUGUUAAUCUCCAGGAUACAGCAUUGAGGAGGCAGCUAUAUCUAAUGAAGGCUCUUUUGAUUGCUAGAGAUGAGAAAAGUAUAUACUAAUAGUUUUAAUUUCUGCACAAAAUACAUUUUAUUAAUUGUCUUGAUUUAAAAUAUGACAAAUCCUUGUAGAUAUUGUUCUUAUCAUAUUUUCCCAGAGGAGCCUAAGUAAAAAUGUGUUCCAACUGGCCUGUUUAUAUAACUUCCACCACAAUUGCUACCCCAAAUUGAGCUCUCUGAAUAUUGACAAGUUAGAAAGCCUUAUGAAAAUUUUUGUUUCUUGAAAUUUUCAGUAUGACAAAAGGUUUUCACUUGAGGUCUGCAUGCAAAAAGGGUUGGAAAGUUUGUCUUACCUCUCUGCUGUUUUAUGAACUGUUUCUCUACAUACUAAGGAUAUUUCACACUGAAGGAAUAUUCCAGGAAAUGAGGGUGUUGAAAUUGUUUGAUGCUUUUGUGUUUCCUCAGUGCAGAUGUGUUAGAUGUCUAGGAAGCAGUGCUUGACCAGACAGCUUCAUGGAUGGCUGGAGGAUAUUUAUGUUUACUCUGAAGAAAGGAGGAAUCGGGCAUAUUGGAGUGGGGACCUUUUCAUUGGUAAAGCAGUGUAAUCAGCUGCUUUGCAGAUGUGCUACUUCAUUAUACUUGCAUCAACGUUCUUAUGCCCAUAAUUGACUGAAAUGUCAGGCUCCAGAAAUGUAAGGUGUUGGCCAGAUGACCAGUAAUAGGACCUUGUGGAUUAUGAAGUGGAGGAAUAAUGUCAAGGUAGUUUGAGCAGUAAUGACAAAGUUUUACUGGUAAAUUUCCAUGUUUGAUAUGUACAUUAAUCUUUAAAACAAAAAAGUUGCAUGUUAACCUGGUACAAAGUAUUGUCUCUGCUUUAUGCUUCAAGUAAAAAGAAACAUACUUGAGUUUCAAUUGUUAUUCUAUUAUGUACUGUUAUAUAUUCCUUUUCUUUUAGAAAAGGUUAAUUAUAAUUACUCUUCACA